This 402-nucleotide ribosomal RNA is filed under the name uncultured bacterium. RNAcentral's name for it is "bacterial SSU rRNA". It matches the Rfam family "Bacterial small subunit ribosomal RNA", at positions 29 to 431 of the family's 1533-position model. The record is from RNAcentral.
AUUGAACGCUGGCGGCGUGCCUAACACAUGCAAGUCGAGCGGUAACAGGUGUAGCAAUACAUGCUGACGAGCGGCGAACGGGUGAGUAAUGCUUCGGAAUCUACCCAAUGGUGGGGAAUAACCAGCCGAAAGGUUGGCUAAUACCGCAUACGUCCCACGGGAGAAAGCAGGGGAUCGCAAGACCUUGCGCCAAUGGAUGAGCCGAAGUCGGAUUAGCUAGUGGUAGGGUAACGGCCUACCAAGGCGACGAUCCGUAGCUGGUCUGAGAGGACGACCAGCCACACUGGGACUGAGACACGGCCCAGACUCCUACGGGAGGCAGCAGUGGGGAAUAUUGGACAAUGGGGGAAACCCUGAUCCAGCGACGCCGCGUGUGUGAAGAAGGCCUGCGGGUUGUAAAGC